Hevea brasiliensis (rubber tree) is the source of this 358-nucleotide long non-coding RNA. RefSeq lists it as uncharacterized. NCBI's taxonomy places the organism in Eukaryota, Viridiplantae, Streptophyta, Magnoliopsida, Malpighiales, Euphorbiaceae. The record is from RefSeq and is a predicted model, not a curated record. The transcript has 2 exons.
UAUCGGAUCAAUUUAUUAGACCGGACCGAAUCCAAUGCUAGUGGUUUGAUUCAAGGAAAAUUUCAUAGCCCGUAAAAGCUACAGGUCUAGGGAGAAGAGGAGGCGAGAAAUCCGAGGAAAAAAAGGAAAAAGCCAUUUUAGCCUGACAUGGGGAAAUUAGGUUUCGAUGAGCUGAUCCAAGAAAACAGAUACCCCACAAUGGCUGUGGCAAGAAAAUUUGUUUUCUUGUCAUCAACAAUCCAACAGAUAUUCUCCAACUUUUGAAAAAAACUCAUUGUAAAAGAAGUAUGCGGGGAUAGCUCAGUUGGGAGAGCGUCAGACUGAAGAUCUGAAGGUCGCGUGUUCGAUCCACGCUCAC